CAUGUGCUAUGGGAAUUAUGGUAAAUACCAAACGCCGACAUGGGAAGCACACAUGAACGCCCCCUCUUGUGGUAUUUUCCACUGGGCAACUCGUAGAAAAUUUUGCUACACGAGUUGCCGAGAUGAGAUGAACUUUAACCUUUUCAACAUGGCGGCGAGCGGUACAAGACACUUGAAUGUUAAGCACUGUACGCUACUAAAGUUUUUUUUACUAGUACUAGUGGGUAGUUUUUGGUGUCUAUGCAAUGUUGCGUCAUUAACAAGUGUAAUAUAAUACGUUAGAAAUCCGUUUCCUUUAAAAAUGUGUUAUGGUUUGUUUUUACCUAUCCAGAGCAGACGCUAUUGCUAACCAUAGCUAACUAACUAUUGCUAACUUGAAUCUGGUCCACCAUCUUUAAUUUGUCAACAACAACAAAAGCAACACAACACACUGUGACCGCGCCCUAUUUAAGGAGAGAGAGAGAGAGAGAGCAGAGGGAGCUCUCUCCACAACUAGACGACUGAUGUGUGUGCAGAUAGAAGCUGAAACGCUGAAUAAAAGCGAGUUGUGUGAAAUCAGUUCUGUCCUGCCGUCCUUCUGUCACAGACCGAUGCUUGACCACGCCCCCGCUGCCACAAACACUAAAUGAAAACGAACCAGAGAUAGUAAAUUCAUCUUCCUAUCUCUCUGACUAAAUACACGAACACUAACACACAACAAAGUUCGCAUUGCUUGUCGCGUUGCUGUGAUGUUUCUCUCCCUCCGGAUUAAAUGGACAGUGACUCGAAAAUCACUAAAAUACAUGAAUACUAAAUGAACAGUUUGCUCUGAUGGCGCAGUUCAUGUGGCCUUUUCUGCUUUCCCGUCGGUGCGCUAUCCGCCGCGUUUCGCCCUUCUUUAAUCCACAUUUCUGCGAAUUUCUCAGCAGGGAAGGGACGCACGUCUGGCCCAUUGACAGCGAGGAAAAGAAGGCUGUCAGUGUGGAUACAUUCAUUCUUUUGCGCUCAUCAGUAAGGAUGUGAUUCAUGGUGCUAAAUCCACGUUCACACUCUGAUUAUCUACAAUGUAUCUAUUUGCUGGGGACGUUCGUGAACAUCAAAGCUGCCACUUCGGGUCAUUUUGAAAGUGAGUGCAAUGUAGACCAUAGAAAACUGUCUCACAACAUGCCUGUCAUGUCAACUUUUUUUUUUUUGGUUUGUUUGUUUUAUUGACGGGGUUGUCCCCGAGGAUUUUUUUUUCAGCAGAGAUAAAAACCAGAGGGGGGGAUGAUCCCCACCAUCCCCCCAGCAAAUCGCACCCAGUUUGUAUCCACUGUGUUAUUUUGAAACUGUAUGAAAUGAGAACUGUGUGAUUUUGAGUCGGUUCACUCAGCAGACCGAAUUCGGCCUUUGUUAAUUGAUUUAAUAAAGGUCUAAACUUUUCUUCAACCUCUUUGAAUCAUUUUUGUUUGGAAGAGUUUAAGUUUUGAGAGUUUCCACGACAAGGAGGGGUUCCCCUCACGCUUUCUGCCUGAUGUGAGCUCAAGAAGAUUUUCCUUGCCACUGUUAGCUCUUUCUUGCUCAUUAGAGAUCUACACUAUAUGGCAUAAGUAUGUGGACGCCUCAAGCCAUAGCCUAAAGGUUAGAGAAGCAGCUUUGGGACCAAAAGGUCACCAGGGCAAUUCCCUGAACCAUCAGGAAUUGAGCAGGGCAACCGCUCUCAGGCUGCUCUAUGUAUGUUGUAUGUCGCUCUGGAUAAAAGUGUCUGCUAAAGGCCAUUAAUAUAAUGUAAUGACUAUCACCAGCAGCUGUCUUGUUGAAGAUCCCUUUCCAAAACCUUGUUUCCCCCCUUGCUGUUAUAAAAAGCUCCACUGUUCUAGGAAGGCUUUCCACUGCAGUCGGUGUUCCAGUUCAUCCCAAAGUUGUUCAGUGGGCUUGAAUUCAGUGAGGGCUGGGUGCAGGACACUCACAUUCUUCAUUCCAACCUUCACACACCAUGGAGCUCGCUUUGUGGACAGGAGCAGCAUCAUCAUCAUCGUCAUGCUGGAACAGGUUUGGACCUGUUAGUUCCAGUGAAGGGAAACUGUAAUGUUACAGCAUACAGAGACAUUGCGUACAAUUGUUUACUGCCAACUUUGUCUCAAAAGGUUAGGGAAGGAACAAAUACGAGUGUCAUGGUCAGGUGUCCACAAAUUUUUUUUGUCCAUAUAAUGUACAUAUAUAUAUGGUGUAUACUGUUAAUGUGUGUUUAAUUUUGUCUUUAAUGAAGAGUGUUUUGAUUUGCUUAUUGUAUUAUUGAAAACUUAAAUUAAAAUAAAUCCUUAGCGGCUAUGAAAUACCUAA
This is a long non-coding RNA of Neoarius graeffei (lesser salmon catfish), 2301 nucleotides long. RefSeq lists it as uncharacterized. The record is from RefSeq and is a predicted model, not a curated record. Lineage: Eukaryota; Metazoa; Chordata; Actinopteri; Siluriformes; Ariidae. The transcript has 2 exons.